Molecule: ribosomal RNA, 490 nt
Filed under: uncultured bacterium
Lineage: Bacteria
Description: partial 16S ribosomal RNA
Rfam family: Bacterial small subunit ribosomal RNA
Source: RNAcentral
AUUGAACGCUGGCGGCAGGCCUAACACAUGCAAGUCGAACGGUAACAGGAAGAAGCUUGCUUCUUUGCUGACGAGUGGCGGACGGGUGAGUAAUGUCUGGGAAACUGCCUGAUGGAGGGGGAUAACUACUGGAAACGGUAGCUAAUACCGCAUAACGUCGCAAGACCAAAGAGGGGGACCUUCGGGCCUCUUGCCAUCGGAUGUGCCCAGAUGGGAUUAGCUAGUAGGUGGGGUAACGGCUCACCUAGGCGACGAUCCCUAGCUGGUCUGAGAGGAUGACGAGCCCCACUGGAACUGAGACACGGUCCAGACUCCUACGGGAGGCAGCAGUGGGGAAUAUUGCACAAUGGGCGCAAGCCUGAUGCAGCCAUGCCGCGUGGAUGAAGAAGGCCUUCGGGUUGUAAAGUACUUUCAGCGGGGAGGAAGGGAGUAAAGUUAAUACCUUUGCUCAUUGACGUUACCCGCAGAAGAAGCACCGGCUAACUCCGUG